CAUUAGAUGACUGAAAGCAAGUACUGGUCUCUUAAACCACUUUAUAAUAUAGUAGCGUAUAUUUCUAAUGA
RNAcentral lists this transfer RNA (71 nucleotides) under Laemophloeidae sp. KM-2017. RNAcentral's name for it is "tRNA-Lys". The record is from RNAcentral. Lineage: Eukaryota; Metazoa; Arthropoda; Insecta; Coleoptera; Laemophloeidae.